GGAAAUGGGCGGCAGCUAACACAUGCAAGUCGAGCGGAAACGAGUUAACUGAACCUUCGGGGAACGUUAACGGCGUCGAGCGGCGGACGGGUGAGUAAUGCCUGGGAAAUUGCCCUGAUGUGGGGGAUAACCAUUGGAAACGAUGGCUAAUACCGCAUAAUAGCUUCGGCUCAAAGAGGGGGACCUUCGGGCCUCUCGCGUCAGGAUAUGCCCAGGUGGGAUUAGCUAGUUGGUGAGGUAAUGGCUCACCAAGGCGACGAUCCCUAGCUGGUCUGAGAGGAUGAUCAGCCACACUGGAACUGAGACACGGUCCAGACUCCUACGGGAGGCAGCAGUGGGGAAUAUUGCACAAUGGGCGCAAGCCUGAUGCAGCCAUGCCGCGUGUAUGAAGAAGGCCUUCGGGUUGUAAAGUACUUUCAGCAGUGAGGAAGGUGGGUAUGUUAAUAGCAUACACAUUUGACGUUAGCUGCAGAAGAAGCACCGGCUAACUCCGUGCCAGCAGCCGCGGUAAUACGGAGGGUGCGAGCGUUAAUCGGAAUUACUGGGCGUAAAGCGCAUGCAGGUGGUUUGUUAAGUCAGAUGUGAAAGCCCGGGGCUCAACCUCGGAAUUGCAUUUGAAACUGGCAAACUAGAGUACUGUAGAGGGGGGUAGAAUUUCAGGUGUAGCGGUGAAAUGCGUAGAGAUCUGAAGGAAUACCGGUGGCGAAGGCGGCCCCCUGGACAGAUACUGACACUCAGAUGCGAAAGCGUGGGGAGCAAACAGGAUUUAGAUACCCUGGUAGUCCACGCUCGUAAACGAUGUCUACUUGGGGUGUUGUGUC
Molecule: ribosomal RNA, 821 nt
Filed under: uncultured bacterium
Lineage: Bacteria
Description: bacterial SSU rRNA
Rfam family: Bacterial small subunit ribosomal RNA
Source: RNAcentral